UGUUAUAAAUACCGGAUGUGGCUAAGGGUAGGCAUCUAUCUUUAACUAAAUUGGUUUUUCGCUUAGAGAGCGGUUCAUGACACAUCAGCUAGUUGGUGGGGUAACGGCCUACCAAGGCGACGACGUGGUAGGGGGUCUGAGAGGAUGACUCCCCCCGAGUGGGACUGAGACACGGCCCACACACCGUACGGGUGGCAGCAGGUUGGGAAUCUUGCACAAUGGGGGAAACCCUGAUGCAGCGACGCCGCGUGGAGGAUGACGGCCCUAGGGUUGUAAACUGCUUUUGUCAGGGAAUAAACCUGUCUACGUGUAGACAGCUGAAGGUACCUGAAGAAUAAGCAUCGGCUAACUCCGUG
RNAcentral lists this ribosomal RNA (356 nucleotides) under uncultured bacterium. RNAcentral's name for it is "bacterial SSU rRNA". It matches the Rfam family "Bacterial small subunit ribosomal RNA", at positions 158 to 507 of the family's 1533-position model. The record is from RNAcentral.